RNAcentral lists this long non-coding RNA (770 nucleotides) under Xyrichtys novacula (pearly razorfish). The record is from RNAcentral. Lineage: Eukaryota; Metazoa; Chordata; Actinopteri; Labriformes; Labridae.
UCAUGAUCUAUUGAGUGUGGAAUAAUCACAUGAAUUCAAAGUGACAGGCUCAUUUGUGUUGAGUGAGAAAAAAGCAUCAAUGACACAUCUGCAUUAAUUCAUGUAUUAUUUCAUCAGGAUUUAUGCAUUACAUAGAUGUUAUUCAGCAUAUAUUCAUACACAGACAUAUUUAUUGUUUUAUUACUUUUGUCAUUUUUAGGUUAUUUCAGUGACUUAUAUAACAUUUUAUGUCUUAAACAGAGGGGUACCAGCAAUUUUCGAGCUGCAGUCUCCCGCAGGACAAGCUGAGAGCUUCCUGAGAGGCACAGCCUCUUUCCCUGACUCUACUUUUCUCACAGCAGACAGCCAUACAGGAGGAAAUUUUGUAUUAGGUAAUUUAUUUAAUUAAAAAUAUAUUUUUUUUUCUUGUGAUUUGUGAUGUUUUUAAUUUCCCAGAUCAAUGGUUGUACCAUAGAAGCUAAUACUGACCUCUACAACCUCUCCCUCUAACGACACCAGGCCCUGAUGCUCUUGGCACUGACCCAGUGCUACCUGUGGUGAGGCCGGAUGCAGUAGAGUCUCUGCUCUUACCUGAAGUUCCACAGGGCAGUGAAUUUUGCUGCCCUGGAAAAACUGUGUCCCGCUCCCAACAUUCUUUGUAAAAGGAGGCGACUUUCCCAUCAGGGUGUGGCCCUGCAUGUGAUAGGCUUCCCCCACACGCACUGGUAAGGCAUUUUGUUGUCUGCCUGUAUUAUAUUCAUUUUUUAACCCUUUAAGGGCCAAUUUAAGAC